GAAAGAUGAUGCACAAUCAGUAGAAACCGUGGGAAAGCCAAAAGCGAAACGAAUCAGGACGUCAAAAACAAAACAAGCAAGCAAAAACACAGAAAAAGAAAGUGCUUGGUCACCUCCUCCCAUAGAAAUUCGGCUGAUUUCCCCCUUGGCUAGCCCAGCUGACGGAGUCAAGAGCAAACCAAGAAAAACUACAGAAGUGACAGGAACAGGUCUUGGAAGGAACAGAAAGAAACUGUCUUCCUAUCCAAAGCAAAUUUUACGCAGAAAAAUGCUGUAAUUUCUUGGGAAGUUUUUAAUGUACACCUAUUUGUAAAGUCAUCAGAAUAGUGUGGAUUAUUAAAUAUCUAGUUUGGAAGAAAAUAAUUUAUAUAAAUUAUUGUAAAUUUUUAUGUAAACAGAAGGUCUUCAAUAAGUAAAGUAACUCCAUAUGGAGUGAUUGUUUCAGUCCAGGCAAUUUUUCUAUUUUAUAUUAAGACUUCAUACAUUUAUAUAUGUAAAUAUGGCUUAUUAAUGGAAUGUCAAAUAAAAUGUAUACUUCACAGUUGUUUGUGUCUUGGAUUUUUGAAAGGGAGGGGAUAUCUGUUUAAAUAGUUUUAUAUGCUCAUUGGUCUCAUUUUCUCUAUAAUUAAAAUACUAGACCAGUCUUAAAAUGGGGAUGAUUGAAGUAUUGAUAUUUCUUUUUACAGUUACUAUUUUAUAAUUUAUGCACUUUGAUUCUGUGAUUCAGAUUUCUAAUCAUAAAAUGUAUUUUUUUGUUUUUGGCUGUUACUAUGUUAAAAUUGAAUUAUGGGCAUGUAAUUUUGCCAUCUUUGUAGUUUCACAAAUUUUGUGUAAUCUACCUCAAAUGAAUAAUCCAAGUAUUGGUUAACUAUAAUGUUGGCAUCUCUUAUUCGGCAAGCUUAAAGGCUCUUUAAAGUCUUAAUUCGUCAAAGACUAAUCCAGGUUAGAUUGACCGGUUCACUGCUCACUUGCAACCUUAUCAAAGGGUUUGACAAAGGGAAAUGUAAAAUAAAUCUGUUUAUGGCUAUUGAGUGCAUCUUGUAUGUGCCUAAUAUUGAUAGGAUGAGAUGUCUGAACAAAUUUUUAUAAUAUUGCUGUGAAGGAGCUUGCUACUGAACCACAGAAAUCCCUUAAUAUUCAGGUUUUAAAACUGGCAAAUUCUCACAGGACCUCAGGCACAGAUUAUUGAGGUUGGGAGAGAGUGAGUAGAUGUAGAAAAGGAGAAAAACAACACACGCCCUGUUCUCUACAGUACAACUGUGUGCAAUUAAGCAAUGAUGGUACUUGAUGUAGGCUCUAACACUCAUCAAUAAAUAAGUGUUGUAAAAUAAUUUAUAACAGGUAAUCGAUAGUGUGUAAUGAAUGGACUAUUAAUUGAUUAUCUAGAAACGAACUGCUUUCGUGGGCUAAGCUUUUAAUAUUUUAAUGUGAAGCAUAUGCAGUGUGCUUUCUGCAUUUAUUUUUCUACCAAAUAAUACAGAUAAUGAGAAAUUGGUGAAAAUGCCUACGCCAAGUGUUGACAGUGUGAAAGUAGCAGUGCGAGUGCGGCCUUUUAGUCAGGUUAGUGAUGGAUGUUACGCUGCCUUGUUGAAAAUUUCACUGACUUUGAUUUUAUUACUUUUUUAAUGAUAGUUAUCAAACUUGUAUUUAAGCUGCUUGUCAUUUAUGGAAUAUUGAACUUAUUUAAAUGAACUUGUUAAAUGAAUAAAGAGCUAAACAUAAUUCAG
This 1727-nucleotide long non-coding RNA is filed under the name Pan troglodytes (chimpanzee). RNAcentral's name for it is "long non-coding RNA NONPTRT001531". Lineage: Eukaryota; Metazoa; Chordata; Mammalia; Primates; Hominidae. The record is from RNAcentral.